CUGGUUGAUUCUGCCAGUAGUCAUAUGCUUGAAUCAAAGAUUAAGCCAUGCAUGUCUAAGUAUAAGCACUUUAUACUGUGAAACUGCGAAUGGCUCAUUAAAUCAGUUAUCGUUUAUUUGAUAGUACCUUACUACAUGGAUACCUGUGGUAAUUCUAGCGCUAAUACAUGCUGAAAACCUCGACUUCGGAAGGGGUGUAUUUAUUAGAUAAAAAACCAAUGCCCUUCGCGGCUCCUUGGUGAAUCAUAAUAACUUAUCGAAUCGCAUGGCCUUGCGCCGGCGAUGGUUCAUUCAAAUUUCUGCCCUAUCAACUUUCGAUGGUAGGAUAGUGGCCUACCAUGUUGGCAACGGGUAACGGGGAAUUAGGGUUCGAUUCCCGAGAGGGAGCCUGAGAAACGGCUACCACAUCCAAGGAAGGCAGCAGGCGCGCAAAUUACCCAAUCCCGACACGGGGAGGUAGUGACAAUAAAUACUGAUACGGGGCUCUUUUGGGUCUCGUAAUUGGAAUGAGUACAAUCUAAAUCCCUUAACGAGGAACAAUUGGAGGGCAAGUCUGGUGCCAGCAGCCGCGGUAAUUCCAGCUCCAAUAGCGUAUAUUAAAGUUGUUGCAGUUAAAAAGCUCGUAGUUGAACCUUGGGUCUGGCUGGCCGGUCCGCCUCACCGCGAGUACUGGUCCGGCUGGACCUUUCCUUCUGGGGAAUCUCAUGGCCUUCACUGGCUGUGGGGGAACCAGGACUUUUACUGUGAAAAAAUUAGAGUGUUCAAAGCAGGCCUUUGCUCGAAUACAUUAGCAUGGAAUAAUAGAAUAGGACGUGCGGUUCUAUUUUGUUGGUUUCUAGGACCGCCGUAAUGAUUAAUAGGGAUAGUCGGGGGCGUCAGUAUUCAGCUGUCAGAGGUGAAAUUCUUGGAUUUGCUGAAGACUAACUACUGCGAAAGCAUUCGCCAAGGAUGUUUUCAUUAAUCAGGGAACGAAAGUUAGGGGAUCGAAGACGAUCAGAUACCGUCGUAGUCUUAACCAUAUACUAUGCCGACUAGGGAUCGGACGGUGUUUCUACUAUGACCCGUUCGGCACCUUACGAGAAAUCAAAGUUAUUGGGUUCUGGGGGAGUAUGGUCGUAAGGCUGAAACUUAGA
This 1133-nucleotide ribosomal RNA is filed under the name Aspergillus tubingensis. Its description in RNAcentral is "SSU rRNA". It matches the Rfam family "Eukaryotic small subunit ribosomal RNA", at positions 4 to 1148 of the family's 1831-position model. The record is from RNAcentral. Lineage: Eukaryota; Fungi; Ascomycota; Eurotiomycetes; Eurotiales; Aspergillaceae.